RNAcentral lists this ribosomal RNA (253 nucleotides) under uncultured bacterium. RNAcentral's name for it is "partial 16S ribosomal RNA". It matches the Rfam family "Bacterial small subunit ribosomal RNA", at positions 524 to 776 of the family's 1533-position model. The record is from RNAcentral.
UACAGAGGUCUCAAGCGUUGUUCGGAUUCACUGGGCGUAAAGGGUGCGUAGGUGGUUGGGUAAGUCUGAUGUGAAAUCUCCGGGCUCAACCCGGAAAUGGCAUUGGAUACUAUUCGGCUAGAGGUUUGGAGGGGGGACUGGAAUUCUCGGUGUAGCAGUGAAAUGCGUAGAUAUCGAGAGGAACACCAGUGGCGAAGGCGAGUCCCUGGACAACACCUGACACUGAGGCACGAAAGCUAGGGGAGCAAACAGG